Molecule: long non-coding RNA, 288 nt
Filed under: Hordeum vulgare
Lineage: Eukaryota; Viridiplantae; Streptophyta; Magnoliopsida; Poales; Poaceae
Description: long non-coding RNA (HVUL_LNC002989)
Source: RNAcentral
GGGCUCGGAGGCAGGCGGCUCGGGUUUCCCCUCCGCAUUGCUCAUGGGAUCAACCGGGAGGGGAUGGUAGUGUUGUAAAGUAAAGUAAAGUAAAGUAAAGUAAAGAGACAAACAAAAAAUCCAAAUAAUUUCACUAGUUCCAUUGCAUGGUGGGAGAACCACUUAUAUACAAGAUGAAUGAGUGUGUUGGGGAGACAUCUUUUCCCCAAGAGGCACCUCCUGGGAGGCUUCCCUUCCAUAUAAUUGAUCACAUGUUUAUUUCUCAACAGUCCCCUUUGAUCAGUUCGU